This 759-nucleotide ribosomal RNA is filed under the name uncultured Enterobacteriaceae bacterium. Its description in RNAcentral is "bacterial SSU rRNA". It matches the Rfam family "Bacterial small subunit ribosomal RNA", at positions 28 to 776 of the family's 1533-position model. Lineage: Bacteria; Pseudomonadati; Pseudomonadota; Gammaproteobacteria; Enterobacterales; Enterobacteriaceae. The record is from RNAcentral.
AUUGAACGCUGGCGGCAGGCCUAACACAUGCAAGUCGAGCGGCAGCGGAAAGUAGCUUGCUACUUUGCCGGCGAGCGGCGGACGGGUGAGUAAUGUCUGGGAAACUGCCUGAUGGAGGGGGAUAACUACUGGAAACGAUAGCUAAUACCGCAUGACCUCGAAAGAGCAAAGUGGGGGAUCUUCGGACCUCACGCCAUCGGAUGUGCCCAGAUGGGAUUAGCUAGUAGGUGAGGUAAUGGCUCACCUAGGCGACGAUCCCUAGCUGGUCUGAGAGGAUGACCAGCCACACUGGAACUGAGACACGGUCCAGACUCCUACGGGAGGCAGCAGUGGGGAAUAUUGCACAAUGGGCGCAAGCCUGAUGCAGCCAUGCCGCGUGUGUGAAGAAGGCCUUAGGGUUGUAAAGCACUUUCAGCGAGGAGGAAGGCACCAUACUUAAUACGUGUGGUGAUUGACGUUACUCGCAGAAGAAGCACCGGCUAACUCCGUGCCAGCAGCCGCGGUAAUACGGAGGGUGCAAGCGUUAAUCGGAAUUACUGGGCGUAAAGCGCACGCAGGCGGUUUGUUAAGUCAGAUGUGAAAUCCCCGCGCUUAACGUGGGAACUGCAUUUGAAACUGGCAAGCUAGAGUCUUGUAGAGGGGGGUAGAAUUCCAGGUGUAGCGGUGAAAUGCGUAGAGAUCUGGAGGAAUACCGGUGGCGAAGGCGGCCCCCUGGACAAAGACUGACGCUCAGGUGCGAAAGCGUGGGGAGCAAACAGG